Molecule: ribosomal RNA, 220 nt
Filed under: uncultured bacterium
Lineage: Bacteria
Description: partial 16S ribosomal RNA
Rfam family: Bacterial small subunit ribosomal RNA
Source: RNAcentral
UAAUGUCUGGGAAACUGCCUGAUGGAGGGGGAUAACUACUGGAAACGGUAGCUAAUACCGCAUAAUGUCGCAAGACCAAAGUGGGGGACCUUCGGGCCUCAUGCCAUCAGGUGUGCCCAGAUGGGAUUAGCUAGUAGGUGGGGUAAUGGCUCACCUAGGCGACGAUCCCUAGCUGGUCUGAGAGGAUGACCAGCCACACUGGAACUGAGACACGGUCCAG